CAGCCGUAAACUAAUGCGCGUUAGGUGUACUGGUGACCACGAGUCACCGGGGUGCCGAAGGGAAACCGUGAAACGUGCCGCCUGGGAAGUACGGUCGCAAGGCUGAAACUUAAAGGAAUUGGCGGGGGAGCGACCACAACGGGUGGAGCCUGCGGUUUAAUUGGACUCAACGCCGGAAAUCUCACCGGAUAGGACAGACAUAUGAUAGUCGGGCUGAAGACUCUACUUGAUGAUCUGAGAGGUGGUGCAUGGCGUCAGUGACU
This 263-nucleotide ribosomal RNA is filed under the name uncultured archaeon. RNAcentral describes it as "partial 16S ribosomal RNA". It matches the Rfam family "Archaeal small subunit ribosomal RNA", at positions 748 to 1008 of the family's 1478-position model. The record is from RNAcentral.